GACGAACGCUGGCGGCGUGCUUAACACAUGCAAGUCGAGCGGUAAGGCCCUUUCGGGGUACACGAGCGGCGAACGGGUGAGUAACACGUGGGUGACCUGCCCUCAGCUCUGGGAUAAGCCCGGGAAACUGGGUCUAAUACCGGAUAUGACUCCAUGACGCAUGUUGUGGGGUGGAAAGCCUUGUGCGGCUGAGGAUGGGCCCGCGGCCUAUCAGCUUGUUGGUGGGGUGAUGGCCACCAAGGCGACGACGGGUAGCCGGCCUGAGAGGGCGACCGGCCACACUGGGACUGAGAUACGGCCCAGACUCCUACGGGAGGCAGCAGUGGGGAAUCUUGCGCAAUGGGCGAAAGCCUGACGCAGCGACGCCGCGUGAGGA
This 376-nucleotide ribosomal RNA is filed under the name uncultured bacterium. RNAcentral describes it as "bacterial SSU rRNA". It matches the Rfam family "Bacterial small subunit ribosomal RNA", at positions 28 to 407 of the family's 1533-position model. The record is from RNAcentral.